GUGAUCAUACCAGCACUAAUGCACCGGAUCCCAUCAGAACUCCGAAGUUAAGCGUGCGUGGGCGAGAGCAGUACUAGGAUGGGUGACCCGACCCCCUGGGAAGUCCUCGUGUUGCACCCA
This 120-nucleotide ribosomal RNA is filed under the name Zingiber officinale. Lineage: Eukaryota; Viridiplantae; Streptophyta; Magnoliopsida; Zingiberales; Zingiberaceae. The record is from RNAcentral.